Long non-coding RNA from Aphis gossypii (cotton aphid), 470 nucleotides. RefSeq lists it as uncharacterized. NCBI's taxonomy places the organism in Eukaryota, Metazoa, Arthropoda, Insecta, Hemiptera, Aphididae. The transcript is spliced from 3 exons. The record is from RefSeq and is a predicted model, not a curated record.
UUGAUUUAAAAAAAAAAAAUUAAAUAAUCGUUAACCAACAACACUUAAAUGAAGUUGGUACCUCGACUUAUAAUAAUGAGUUAUACAACUAAAAACGUUUUACCACACGACUGCCAACGUUUUGUUAUUUUUUGAAAAAAAAUCAUUUAGUUUUAGAAAACUGUAUAAAAAUGUAUGCCGGGAUUCAAAAAAAAAAAAAAACAAAACAAAACAAAACAAAAAUAAUGAAAUAAUGAUGAAAAAGAAAACUGUCCGCAGUCCCAUUAAACAAUAACGAUGAAAAACCUAUUAUGUUAUUAACUGUUGCAAUAACGUGUGAUGAAGCGAUGCGAAAAGACGUUGCCUCGAUUAGUUGGUCACACACAAACUAUAGGAAUUGGACAAAAAAUUUAAAAUACUCUCACAUAUACGUAUGUUAUACAAAUGUCAUUUUAAUUUACUGUACUACUGUACGCAUGAAUAACGUUGGU